Molecule: ribosomal RNA, 253 nt
Filed under: uncultured bacterium
Lineage: Bacteria
Description: partial 16S ribosomal RNA
Rfam family: Bacterial small subunit ribosomal RNA
Source: RNAcentral
UACGUAGGGGGCAAGCGUUAUCCGGAUUUAUUGGGCGUAAAGGGAACGCAGGCGGUCUUUUAAGUCUGAUGUGAAAGCCUUCGGCUUAACCGGAGUGGUGCAUUGGAAACUGGGAGACUUGAGUGCAGAAGAGGAGAGUGGAACUCCAUGUGUAGCGGUGAAAUGCGUAGAUAUAUGGAAGAACACCAGUGGCGAAAGCGGCUCUCUGGUCUGUAACUGACGCUGAGGUUCGAAAGCGUGGGUAGCAAACAGG